GCCAGAUGCGGCUGUAGUCCCAGCUACUCGAGAGGCUGAGGCAGGCGGAUCACUGGAGUCCAGGAGUUCUGGGCUGUAGUGUGUUCUGCCGAUCGGGUGUCUGCACCAAGUUCGGCAUCAAUCUGAUGUCCUCCAGGAAGACUGGAGCCACCAGAUUGCCUAGGGAGCGGUGAACCGGCCCAGGUUGGAAAGAGAACAGGUCAAAACUCCACUGCUGGUCAGUAGUGGGAUUGUGCCUGUGAAUAGCCACUGCACUCCAGCUUAGACAACAUAGGCAGAACUUAUCUCA
Molecule: unclassified non-coding RNA, 289 nt
Organism: Colobus angolensis palliatus
Lineage: Eukaryota; Metazoa; Chordata; Mammalia; Primates; Cercopithecidae
Rfam family: Metazoan signal recognition particle RNA
About the family: The signal recognition particle (SRP) is a universally conserved ribonucleoprotein. It is involved in the co-translational targeting of proteins to membranes.
Source: Ensembl